CCUACGGGUGGCUGCAGUGGGGAAUAUUGGACAAUGGGCGCAAGCCUGAUCCAGCAAUGCCGCGUGUGUGAAGAAGGCCUGCGGGUUGUAAAGCACUUUUGUUCGGGAAGAAAUCAUGCUGGUUAAUACCUGGUAUGGAUGACGGUACCGAAAGAAUAAGCACCGGCUAACUUCGUGCCAGCAGCCGCGGUAAUACGAAGGGUGCAAGCGUUAAUCGGAAUUACUGGGCGUAAAGGUUGAAUAGGCGGCCGAAAUCCCCGGGCUCAACCUGGGAAUGGCAUUCGAUACUGGGAGGCUAGAGUUUGGGAGAGGGUGGUGGAAUUCCCGGUGUAGCGGUGAAAUGCGUAGAGAUCGGGAGGAACAUCAGUGGCGAAGGCGGCCACCUGGCCUAAAACUGACGCUGAGGCACGAAAGCGUGGGGAGCAAACAGGAUUAGAUACCCCAGUAGUC
RNAcentral lists this ribosomal RNA (450 nucleotides) under uncultured bacterium. RNAcentral describes it as "partial 16S ribosomal RNA". It matches the Rfam family "Bacterial small subunit ribosomal RNA", at positions 338 to 795 of the family's 1533-position model. The record is from RNAcentral.